This 253-nucleotide ribosomal RNA is filed under the name uncultured bacterium. RNAcentral describes it as "partial 16S ribosomal RNA". It matches the Rfam family "Bacterial small subunit ribosomal RNA", at positions 524 to 776 of the family's 1533-position model. The record is from RNAcentral.
UACGUAUGGGGCAAGCGUUAUCCGGAUUUGCUGGGUGUAAAGGGAGCGUAGGCGGCCUGGCAAGCCUGAUGUGAAAUACCGGGGCCCAACCCCGGGGCUGCAUUGGGAACUGCCAGGCUGGAGUGCCGGAGAGGCAGGCGGAAUUCCUAGUGUAGCGGUGAAAUGCGUAGAUAUUAGGAGGAACACCAGUGGCGAAGGCGGCCUGCUGGACGGUGACUGACGCUGAGGCUCGAAAGCGUGGGGAGCAAACAGG